This 492-nucleotide ribosomal RNA is filed under the name uncultured bacterium. Its description in RNAcentral is "partial 16S ribosomal RNA". It matches the Rfam family "Bacterial small subunit ribosomal RNA", at positions 29 to 507 of the family's 1533-position model. The record is from RNAcentral.
AGUGAACGCUGGCGGUAGGCCUAACACAUGCAAGUCGAACGGCAGCACAGUAAGAGCUUGCUCUUACGGGUGGCGAGUGGCGGACGGGUGAGGAAUACAUCGGAAUCUACUUUUUCGUGGGGGAUAACGUAGGGAAACUUACGCUAAUACCGCAUACGACCUACGGGUGAAAGCAGUGGAUCUUCUGACCUUGCGCGAAUGAAUGAGCCGAUGUCGGAUUAGCUAGUUGGCGGGUUAAAGGCCCACCAAGGCGACGAUCCGUAGCUGGUCUGAGAGGAUGAUCAGCCACACUGGAACUGAGACACGGUCCAGACUCCUACGGGAGGCAGCAGUGUGGAAUAUUGGACAAUGGGCGCAAGCAUGAUCCAGCGAUGCCGCGUGGGAGAAGAAAGCCUUCGGGUUGUAAAGCCCUUUUGUUGGGAAAGAAAAGCAGCAGGUUAAUACCCCGCUGUUCUGACGGUACCCAAAGAAUAAGCACCGGCUAACUUCGUG